GAUCAUGGCUCAGGAUGAACGCUAGCUACAGGCUUAACACAUGCAAGUCGAGGGGAAACGAUAUUGGAAGCUUGCUUCCGAUAGGCGUCGACCGGCGCACGGGUGAGUAACGCGUAUCCAACCUGCCCAUCACUUGGGAAUAACCUUGCGAAAGUAAGACUAAUGCCCAAUGACAUUUAUAGAAGGCAUCUGAAAUGAAUUAAAGAUUUAUCGGUGAUGGAUGGGGAUGCGUCCG
RNAcentral lists this ribosomal RNA (235 nucleotides) under uncultured bacterium. RNAcentral describes it as "partial 16S ribosomal RNA". It matches the Rfam family "Bacterial small subunit ribosomal RNA", at positions 15 to 239 of the family's 1533-position model. The record is from RNAcentral.